RNAcentral lists this long non-coding RNA (367 nucleotides) under Ananas comosus (pineapple). Its description in RNAcentral is "long non-coding RNA (ACOM_LNC013311)". Lineage: Eukaryota; Viridiplantae; Streptophyta; Magnoliopsida; Poales; Bromeliaceae. The record is from RNAcentral.
UUUAUUUUAUUAUAUUUUUUUUAUUGAAACUUUCUUAUACUACAAGGCAUAUAACGCUUUUUCACCUUCUUCUCCGGUGCGAAACGAAAAAAUUCUAAAAAUGUAUUAGGUUCCACGUAAAACUAUGGAAAAAAAUUUUCGGUGGAAAAAAAAUUUCAGUGGGAAAAAAAUUUUAUGUUGUUUAAUAUUUGGUUUGUAGGAAAAAAAUAGAUAAAAAAUUAUUUAAUAUAUUUUUUAUUAUAUAUAUAUUAUUAAUAUAUAAUAAUUAUUAUCUUAUAUAUAUUAUUAUUAUAAUUUCUAUUUAUAGAUUAAAUAUAUUUAAAAUUAUAAUAAACAUAUUACAUAAUAUAUAAGCAUUAUAUAUUUU